UUUUUUUUUCACACUUGGUACAGAUGCUAGAAGGCAAGCCAUCGUCUUCCUGAACCUAGUAUUGUCAAACAGAGAUGCUGGAUUGCAGACGCAACAGCACGCUUGCAGCCAGUGUGUGGAGGGGAUAUGCGCAUGCGCCUACGUUGGACGCUCAUCCUAGCAAUGGCGGUGAUGACGUCAUCAAGGAUACAUGUGAAGCGGU
Long non-coding RNA from Camponotus floridanus (Florida carpenter ant), 202 nucleotides. RefSeq lists it as uncharacterized. The transcript has 3 exons. The record is from RefSeq and is a predicted model, not a curated record. NCBI's taxonomy places the organism in Eukaryota, Metazoa, Arthropoda, Insecta, Hymenoptera, Formicidae.